This 199-nucleotide ribosomal RNA is filed under the name uncultured bacterium. Its description in RNAcentral is "partial 16S ribosomal RNA". It matches the Rfam family "Bacterial small subunit ribosomal RNA", at positions 328 to 539 of the family's 1533-position model. The record is from RNAcentral.
ACGCUCGACACCUACGGAGGCAGCAGUGGGGAAUAUUGCACAAUGGAGGAAACUCUGAUGCAGCGACGCCGCGUGAGCGAAGAAGUAUUUCGGUAUGUAAAGCUCUAUCAGCAGGGAAGAAAAAGGACGGUACCUGACUAAGAAGCUCCGGCUAAAUACGUGCCAGCAGCCGCGGUAAUCUGAGGCGGGCUGGCAAGGC